RNAcentral lists this unclassified non-coding RNA (277 nucleotides) under uncultured fungus. RNAcentral describes it as "partial contains small subunit ribosomal RNA, internal transcribed spacer 1, and 5.8S ribosomal RNA". The stretch from base 1 to 73 matches the Rfam family "Eukaryotic small subunit ribosomal RNA", at positions 1759 to 1831 of the family's 1831-position model. The record is from RNAcentral. Lineage: Eukaryota; Fungi.
UCAAACUUGGUCAUUUAGAGGAAGUAAAAGUCGUAACAAGGUCUCCGUUGGUGAACCAGCGGAGGGAUCAUUAAAGAGUUGCAAAACUCCCAAACCAUUUGUUUAUCUACCUGUUUCGUUGCUUCGGCAGGCGGCUCCUAACGGGGCCUUCGCCCUCUGGGUGCCUGCCGGAGUAUCCAAAACUCUUGUUAAUUACUGUUUUGUCUGAGUAAACUUUUAAUAAGUUAAAACUUUCAACAACGGAUCUCUUGGUUCUGGCAUCGAUGAAGAACGCAGC